Molecule: long non-coding RNA, 2942 nt
Filed under: Homo sapiens (human)
Lineage: Eukaryota; Metazoa; Chordata; Mammalia; Primates; Hominidae
Description: HSALNT0058851
Source: RNAcentral
CCCAGAGCUAAUUAGCUGCAGAGCUGGCAUCACUAGGCCUGGCUGACUCCAGAGCCCAAGCUUCUAUCACAGAGGAUGCUGGAACAGCUUCCUGUUCUUCAGUGUAAUCAAAGGGUUGCAGGAGGCUGGAGACUAUCCCAGCAGCACAUGGCACAAAGCAAGAACCAGCCCCGGACAGGACGCCAUUCCAUCACAGGUGCACUCACACCCACCAGCACUCACUCAGACUGGGCCCAUUUAGACACACCGAUUCAUCCAACAUGCAUAUCUCUGGGGUGUGGAAGGAAACUGGAUUACCUGGUGAAAACCCACACAGACAUGGGGAGAACAUGCCAGCUCUACACAAACAGUGGCCUGGUGGGGAAUCAAUUUUUUUUUUCUUAUCAGUGUUAUAAAUGAAACAGUGUUGAAGUAAAGGACCUGCUCUACAUUCCAGAAGAGUGAAAAAGCAAACGUAAAAAAGUAUACUUACAGGGGAAGAGAAGCAUAAAAGUCAAGGAAGAAAAGACAAAUGGAUCUAACUGCAUACAGAUUCAAACUUUUGUAUUUCAAAAGUCCUGUAGACAUAAAUUCAUCCUCUAAGGUACCAUAGGAGGUUUCUGAAUAGUAAGAGCUAACAUGUAUUGAAUGCUCACCAGGCACUCUGCUAUGUACUUAAUUUGCUUAUUUUAUUUAAUUCUCACAAGAAUAUUAUGAUUCUACCACAGUUUACUUUUCUCUCCUAUCAUUAGAUGAUAAUUAUUUAUUCUAAUAGAGGGACACUAUAACUAUGAACCUCUAGCUCAGAGGUGCCCGGGAUUUUGCAGCAGUUAGUCGUGGAGCUGAGCUGAAAUGGGUGGUCUCUGUCAAGCCCUCGUCGAUUUACCCAGGAUACUUACUCCUCAUUCUCCCUUUGCAGUGCUUCCUCAGCCAUAAGACUGGCCUGCUUGGCAGUCAUCUGCCCAUCCAUUACUGUGGAAUAGCGUAUCUCACUCCUAUCUCACUCAUCCCGAGGCCAAAGGCUACAGUUUCAUGAACACUGGUUCCCUCUGACUUUUCCUCUAUUGUCUAAGCCAACCCAGGAAAAGGCACCAUAGAAACAGAAAAUAUUAUUAAAGCUCAUAUCACAAAUCCAGGGAUCAUUUCCACUGAGCUGAGACAGAAAACUGAUAUGUUUAUCAGAAAAGAUAACACUUGUCUACAAAGAGUGCUUUCCAGGCCAUAGGAUAAACAGAGGGAGCCGCCAGCUUGACCUCUAGGCAGGGCGUCUGCACGAGGCUGGAGAGUCCGUGCUCUGUCCACCUCCAACAAAAACAGGCUGCUGACUUCAUCCAGCUUCCAGUCCUUUCCCAGACAGGUCCCAGCUCUCGGCCACAGGCUUCCUCCUCUACACAUUUUUAUUAUAAGAAGAUAUUCAAGAAUAAUUAACAAAGUAGAAAUAAAUGAUUUCUCAGAAAAGAUUUAAAAGGCUAAAUAUGUAUAAUGUAAUUAAACAAUGACUAACACUGGCCCCUUCAACAACUUGGCAAUUCCCUUGGGCGAAGGCAUUGUUUAGGCUGGCCUAUGGGCCAAGGAUCACGAGAUGACUCACCCCAACAUGGCCCUCAUCUGUCAGACGCCUCUUCUCCAUUUACUUGUGGAAACAGCAUAGACCUAGACCUGAGUUCAAAUCCUGACUCUGCCACUUAUUUGGCAUGUAGUCUUUAGCAAAAUCCUUAGCCUAAGACUUAAUCCUAACUCUCAGUUUCAUUACCUGUGAAAUGGCAAUAAUAUUUCCUAACUCUUAGAAAUGUUUUGAUGAUUAGUGAUCAUAAAGUAUUCAAGAAAUGUUAUUAGCUUAUUUUCAGAAUUGAGCUUAUUAUUUCCUCAUUCCUACUAUUUUCUCCCAACUCCCCUUUCUGACUCUCUUUUUCUUAAUAGAAAAUUAUCAUAGUAAUAAAUUCACAUGGAUUAAGAAAAAAAGUAAUACUAAAGGGGUAAUGAUAAAAAGCAAGAGUCACAUCUCUCACCCUUUUCAAACUGAGCCUUACUCUACAAAAGUAACUAUUUUUAACAUUUUCUUCUGGUAGUUAUCUCCAUAUUUCAGAUAAUAUGCUUAUAUAAGUUUUUCAUUUUUAAAUAAAAUUUGUACAUGCUAAAUAAAAUUCCAAAAAAAAAGUGCAAAACGGACCAUGUGUGCUUGCCAUGAACACGUGCCUCUCAGGUAUUUGAGUGAUUGACCAAGGGCCCCAGUGCUAUAUUCUGAAAUCCAUCCCCACACACAGAGGCCAUGAUUCAAGGGUGUGAGGGAUACUAAGGCAGGACCAUUCUUGGGAGAUGAGGGACUCCUUAGAAGAGCAACUUUGGCUUGAGCACUGUCCAUCAGCUUUGCUGAAACCUCCUUAGACUGCACCACAUCUAACAUUUUUCCUACCCAACCUUCCUUCUUUCACAGACUUGCAUCAUGGUCUCCAGAGGAGACUCAGUCUCCUGGGCUCUUCCACCUCCCUCCCCAUUUUCCCUCACAGAUGUUCCCCAAUAAAUCUCUUGCACUUAUCCUGCCUUGACAUCAGCUCCUUGGAAGACCUGAACUAACACAGUGGUGCCAAGAGUGGUCUGAGAAUAGGGGCAAUAAAAUGAGGUUCUGAGACUGACUCCCAAAAGACAAGUGAGCAAAGAGGACACUAUCCUGAAUGUUGUGUGUAGCACAGAUGGUCUCCAACAUGCAGUGGUGAUCUAAUCACUGGAAAAUGUCUCCAUGAAGGGAGAUGUCAUGGCAGAUGCAAUGAGUCAAGCAUUUGAAAAACUUUGGGGGAAACAGUGUCUACAAAGACAGUGGGGUGUCCAGUUAUAGCUAAAAUGUACUGACUCCCUGCAGAGAGAUUAUAAGGAACAAGGGCCAUUAAUAAGCAGUUGAAGACUAAAUGUGAGAGCCAGAAGGCCUCUUUGGUAGCUUACAAAGAUGCAGCUAAGAAUAGAAUGAG